UAGAAUCUCUGGCAAAGUGGCGACCCAGAACAGGGACUUGAGGACGUUGCAAAGUGGCAUCGGAACACAGGGACCUGAGGAUGUGAACGAAGACGGUCGGCUGGAGCAGAGGAACCGAAAAUGACAAGAUGAAUGGGGAUCCCGGGACGAGUCUGCCAGCAGCGGAUAUAGGGUCAGUGCCCUAAAGGGGUACUGAUCAGUGCCCUAAAGAGGUACUCGGAGCGAUAUAAGGGCACUGGGGACGCUGGGUGCACUGGAGCCCGAGACCCCUCUCAUGGCUGUCCUGGUCGCCAGUCCUGUGGGCUGUGAUUCUGAGUAUCCUGUUGUCCAAGGCCUCCACGGAGAACGCGGCUCUGCUCGGCUGCCAGGACCUGCUGAGGACAAACGGUGUGUGCAGAACCAGGCGCCUGGGCCCCCGGGGCGUGCGCGGCGGGAGCGUCUGAGACCCGGGAGAUGGAGUCUCGACCUCGAAGCAGACGGCGGCGCUGGGUGCCCUGAAGGAGGAGGCGCUGCUGCAGACCACGAGCGCGGAGCUUGGGGAGGCGCAGGCAAAGCUGAUGUAGCAGGAGAGCGCCCUGCGGGAACUGCGUGAGCGUGUGACCCAUGGCUUGGCUGAAGCCGGCAGGGACCGCGAGGACGUCAGCACUGAGCUGUACCGGGCGCUGGAGGCCGUGAGGCUGCAGAACAGUGAGGGUGAGGGGGGAUAGGAGGGGGGGCGGUGUAAAUGGACCCUGCCCGUGUGCGUCGCCGGACCCCCUCUUUGACCUUGGCCUGGUCCUGUGGCUCCACCCCUGAGCCCGUGGGGCCAAACCCCUACCCCCUGCGUCCUCUUGGUGCGCUCUCCCUGAAAGCACUCGACCUCUCUGACCCUCGCCACCCUGCGGGUUCCUGUGAGCCGUGCCCCACGUCGUGGCUGCCCUUCGGGGACUCCUGCUACUAUUUCUCUGUGCCGAAGACCACGUGGGCAGAGGCGCAUGACCACUGCGCCGAUGCCAGCGCACAUCUGGUGAUGUAGGGAGCCUGGAGGAGCAGGACUUCCUGAGACACUAGUGCCCUUGAAUACUGGAUCGGCCGCAGGGCCGUGCAACACCUGCGCAAGGUUCAGGGCUACUCGUGGGUGGACGGAGUCCCACUCAGCUUCAGGGGUGCGAGGCCUGUGUCAUGAUUCUGGGCAUGGGGCUGUGGAUCGACCCACCACGUGAUGAGAAAGCUGGCGGGAUCUGUGAGAAGAGGCACGGUGCUGACCCUGCCCGUUGCCCCAGAGCCAUGCCCAGUGCCCAAAGGGGUGCUGUGCUGGGCUCCUGGAACCCACUGCCAAGGAUUUUCUUUUCCCCAUCCACCACUGCUGAGAACCAAUCAGCCAGGCCCAGCCCUGUCCAGUGCCUGCGCUCUGGGACCUCUGCUCUGACCUCAUGCAGACCUAACCUAACCUUCACUGGCUCCAAAAUCUCCACUUCUGGACCCCAGUGGUCUGACCCCACCUCUCCCCCUAGCCAAGGUCAGGCAACUGAGCAAUGGAGCUAUUUGCUUUUCCUGCAUUUUCCCGCAAAGGGGAAAAUGGUACUUCCUGCAAAGCUCUCUUUGCAGCCUGGGGGAGCAUCAAUAAAGG
RNA transcript from Pongo pygmaeus (Bornean orangutan), 1609 nucleotides. It is a transcript of the gene named C-type lectin domain family 4 member M, with no coding region annotated. NCBI's taxonomy places the organism in Eukaryota, Metazoa, Chordata, Mammalia, Primates, Hominidae. The transcript is spliced from 8 exons. The record is from RefSeq and is a predicted model, not a curated record.